AAUUUCAUAUGUUUAUUCAUUAAAAAAAAAAACACAUCUAAAGAACAAAAAAUAUUCAGAAGAAUCAUUCUAGUGUUCUUCAUCUUUUCUGGAUUUUCUUACAUCUCUCUCAAUUGUCAGACUGAAACUCUCUCUUCUUUCUAAAUUGGUUUCGCUAUCGCCGACUCGGCGUCACAGGUGCGGGCAACCGAUUUUCCUUCUUGUUUCUGGGUCAGUGGAUCAAGGAUCUGAAAGCCGAGCUUGCUUUGCUCUGUGUUUCCAAGGUGUCUUUGUUUACUUUGAUGGGUUGCUUUCUUUCUGAAUUGAUUUUGGUGGUUCAUGGAUUCUGACCUAUUUCUUGUUCUGUGAAAAGGGGUUUUUGUUUUUGGGUCGGUUGAGUGUGCGUGUGGUGUUUUGCUCUGUUUAAUCUUUGUCUGAAGGUGAAUCUUGGGUGCUGCUAUUCUUUGAUUCCUUCUAUGUACUCUUUUUUUCUUUAUGUUAUUUGGUGUAAUACUUUCGAUGACUCUUUGGGUUGUUUUGUUGUUUCUAAAGUUUUAGUUUUUAUUGAAAUUUACAUGCCAAUGAGAGUAAUGACACAUCAGAUUUUAAAAACUAGCAAUGACAUAUCAGAGUUCAAAUGUACAGCGUUUUUGGUUAAAAAGUGAUUUUAAAACUGAAUUUUUGGUUUAAAAUAGGGCUUGUUUGGGUGUAAGAGAAAAUGGAGAAGCAGGGCACUUUCUCAUACUCAUCAGCAUGAAGAUGGGUUUGAGGUUGUUGUUGUUGGUCAAAGCUGAUGUAAGAAUCCAUUAAUGCUGGAAGAGAUGAAGAGCCUGUGUCAUCAUAGCAGCUUCUCAUGCUAUUAGGUUUGCCACCAACUUCUCUGUUCUUGUAGAACACCCUACACAACACCUAAUCUUCCUGUAUGGACAGAAAAAAGAGUUAAUUAGAUGCUAUCAUAGUUAAUUUGAACCUAUGACUAUGCUUCAGAAAAUGGCCAAGGUUUGUGAAGCUUCAAUUUUUACCAUCAUUCAAUUGCUUCUUUUUCUGUUCUUUUUUGCUGCAUCAUUGAACUUCAAAGUGUUUGGACUAGUUGAUGGAGUACUCCCACUUGCUUGAUAAAGCAGAUGAGUGUGAGGAUCCAUACAUGCGGCUUGUGUAUGCAUGCUGACUUUAUUAGGAGUCCAGAAAUAAUCUCAGAAAGGAAGGUAAGGCCGUUAGAGUCGGUUCAUUCGUUUCAUGGGAACUUUUCAACGAGCAAUCGGAAGCAUACAAGGAGAGUGUUCUCCCUGCUGCUGUUUCAGCUGGUGUUUAGCAUUGAGCAUCGAUCACAUUUGGGUGGGAGAGAAUCAUUGGAAGCAAUAGGCAUUGAUCGAUUCGGAGCUAGCGCUCCAGCAGAAAAAAUAUACAAAGAGUUUGGCAUCACAAAGGAAGCUGUUAUUGCUGCAGCAAAAUCACUUAUCUAAGAUGUAUUAGUUUCUUUAUUUUUGUUUCUGCCUUGGUUUGAGUUGAUGAUUACAUUUAGAGGGAAAUUUGCAUGAGGCAUGUUUAAAGGGCAUUCCUUCACUUGAAUAAGGAAUAGGUUAGGUUACAUUUGUUUGUGAUUCUCAUUUGAGUUUCUUAGAUCAAAGUAGGAGAUGAAAGUUUUAUGAACUUGUAAGAACACUUUGAACAGUUGAGUUAUGCAUUUGCCACACGGUCAAAAUCAAA
Molecule: RNA transcript, 1686 nt
Organism: Arachis duranensis
Lineage: Eukaryota; Viridiplantae; Streptophyta; Magnoliopsida; Fabales; Fabaceae
Gene name: transketolase, chloroplastic-like
Exons: 3
Source: RefSeq, a predicted model, not a curated record